This 403-nucleotide ribosomal RNA is filed under the name uncultured bacterium. RNAcentral describes it as "partial 16S ribosomal RNA". It matches the Rfam family "Bacterial small subunit ribosomal RNA", at positions 28 to 526 of the family's 1533-position model. The record is from RNAcentral.
GACGAACGCUGCCGGCGUGCCUAAUACAUGCAAGUCGAACGCAGUGGGGACGGGUGAGUAACACGUGGGUAACCUCCCAUCAGAGGGGAUAACACUUGGAAACAGGUGCUAAAACGAUACUGAUGGAUGGACCCGCGGUGCAUUAGCUAGUUGGUGAGGUAACGGCUCACCAAGGCCACGAUGCAUAGCCUGCCUGGGAGGGGGAGCGUCCACACUGUGACUGAGCAACGGCCCAGACUCCUACGGGAGGCAGCAGGAGGGAAUCUUCGGCAAUGGACUAAAGUCUGACCGAGCAACGACGCGGGAGUGAAGAAGGUGUUCGGAGCGUAAAACUCUGUUGUUAGAGAAGCGGUAUCUAACCAGAAAGCCACUGAUAACUAUGUGCCAGCAGCCGCGGUAAUAC